GGCAGAGGCUUGCGCUCAGGCUUUCGAUACGGCGGACGGUACCCCGGCGUCAUCACGUGCCCUGCGGGCAUGGAAUCGUUACGGAUUCGCGCACUGAGCGGUCCACACGGCGCAAGCA
This 118-nucleotide small RNA is filed under the name unclassified sequences. RNAcentral's name for it is "DUF3268 RNA". It matches the Rfam family "DUF3268 RNA". The record is from Rfam by way of RNAcentral.